RNAcentral lists this ribosomal RNA (492 nucleotides) under uncultured bacterium. RNAcentral's name for it is "partial 16S ribosomal RNA". It matches the Rfam family "Bacterial small subunit ribosomal RNA", at positions 29 to 507 of the family's 1533-position model. The record is from RNAcentral.
AGUGAACGCUGGCGGUAGGCCUAACACAUGCAAGUCGAACGGCAGCACAGUAAGAGCUUGCUCUUACGGGUGGCGAGUGGCGGACGGGUGAGGAAUACAUCGGAAUCUACUUUUUCUUGGGGGAUAACGUAGGGAAACUUACGCUAAUACCGCAUACGACCUACGGGUGAAAGCAGUGGAUCUUCGGACCUUUCGCGAUUGAAUGAGCCGAUGUCGGAUUAGCUAGUUGGCGGGGUAAAGGCCCACCAAGGCGACGAUCCGUAGCUGGUCUGAGAGGAUGAUCAGCCACACUGGAACUGAGACACGGUCCAGACUCCUACGGGAGGCAGCAGUGGGGAAUAUUGGACAAUGGGCGAAAGCCUGAUCCAGCCAUGCCGCGUGGGUGAAGAAGGCCUUCGGGUUGUAAAGCCCUUUUGUUGGGAAAGAAAAGCAGCAGGUUAAUCCACCGCUGUUCUGACGGUACCCAAAGAAUAAGCACCGGCUAACUUCGUG